UUCUUCCAACAUCUACUUGUCAUCGACAUCUGGCUACUCCUCCGAGGAUGAGCUGCAGGGUUUGGCCUACUCUGAAUCAUUCUCUCCCCUUGCCAAGCUGUGGGGCUGGAUCUCGCUGCUGUCUCCAGAAAAAGCUUUGCCCCUGGUGUACUGGUGGUUGGGCACAGCCUGGUACCAGUUAACAACGGCCAUCUCCUUGAUCGACGU
Long non-coding RNA from Amblyraja radiata (thorny skate), 207 nucleotides. RefSeq lists it as uncharacterized. The record is from RefSeq and is a predicted model, not a curated record. The transcript is spliced from 3 exons. NCBI's taxonomy places the organism in Eukaryota, Metazoa, Chordata, Chondrichthyes, Rajiformes, Rajidae.